This 442-nucleotide ribosomal RNA is filed under the name uncultured bacterium. RNAcentral's name for it is "bacterial SSU rRNA". It matches the Rfam family "Bacterial small subunit ribosomal RNA", at positions 958 to 1398 of the family's 1533-position model. The record is from RNAcentral.
AACGCGAAGAACCUUACCUACCCUUGACAUCCUGCGAAUUGCGUUGAGAGGCGCGAGUGCCGAAAGGAGCGCAGAGACAGGUGCUGCAUGGCUGUCGUCAGCUCGUGUUGUGAGAUGUUGGGUUAAGUCCCGUAACGAGCGCAACCCUUGUCCUUAGUUGCCAUCAAGUGAAGUUGGGGACUCUAAGGAGACUGCCGGUGACGAAUCGGAGGAAGGAGGGGACGACGUCAAGUCAUCAUGGCCUUUAUGGGUAGGGCUACACACGUGCUACAAUGGGGUGUACAGAGGGUAGCAAAGCGGCGACGCGGAGCCAAUCCCAGAAAGCACCUCGUAGUCCGGAUUGGAGUCUGCAACUCGACUCCAUGAAGUUGGAAUCGCUAGUAAUCGCGAAUCAGCGAUGUCGCGGUGAAUACGUUCCCGGGCCUUGUACACACCGAGUAUA